RNAcentral lists this ribosomal RNA (118 nucleotides) under Labrus bergylta (ballan wrasse). Lineage: Eukaryota; Metazoa; Chordata; Actinopteri; Labriformes; Labridae. The record is from RNAcentral.
GCUUACGGCCAUACCACCCUGAACACGCCCGAUCUCGUCCGAUCUCGGAAGCUAAGCAGGGUCGGGCCUGGUUAGUACUUGGAUGGGAGACGCCUGGGAAUACCAGGUGCUGUAAGCU